Molecule: ribosomal RNA, 253 nt
Filed under: uncultured bacterium
Lineage: Bacteria
Description: partial 16S ribosomal RNA
Rfam family: Bacterial small subunit ribosomal RNA
Source: RNAcentral
UACGUAGGGGGCAAGCGUUGUCCGGAGUUAUUGGGCGUAAAGAGCGUGUAGGCGGCUUUGCAAGUCCGUUGUGAAAACUCGAGGCUCAACCUCGAGACGCCGGUGGAAACUGCAAAGCUAGAGUCCGGAAGAGGAGAGUGGAAUUCCUGGUGUAGCGGUGAAAUGCGCAGAUAUCAGGAGGAACACCCAUGGCGAAGGCAGCUAACUGGGCAUUAUCUGACGCUGAGGCGCGAAAGCGUGGGUAGCAAACAGG